This 827-nucleotide ribosomal RNA is filed under the name Halobacterium sp. BAB-4199. Its description in RNAcentral is "bacterial SSU rRNA". It matches the Rfam family "Archaeal small subunit ribosomal RNA", at positions 30 to 858 of the family's 1478-position model. The record is from RNAcentral. Lineage: Archaea; Methanobacteriati; Methanobacteriota; Halobacteria; Halobacteriales; Halobacteriaceae.
CUAUCGGAGUCCGAUUUAGCCAUGCUAGUUGUGCGGGUUUAGACCCGCAGCGGAAAGCUCAGUAACACGUGGCCAAACUACCCUGUGGAUGGGAACAAUCUCGGGAAACUGAGGCUAAUUCCCAAUAACGCUCCACCCCUGGAACGGGCGGAGCUGGAAACGCUACGGCGCCACAGGAUGUGGCUGCGGUCGAUUAGGUAGACGGUGGGGUAACGGCCCACCGUGCCAAUAAUCGGUACGGGUUGUGAGAGCAAGAGCCCGGAGACGGAAUCUGAGACAAGAUUCCGGGCCCUACGGGGCGCAGCAGGCGCGAAACCUUUACACUGUACGCAAGUGCGAUAAGGGGACUCCGAGUGUGAAGGCAUAGAGCCUUCACUUUUGUACACCGUAAGGUGGUGUACGAAUAAGGGCUGGGCAAGACCGGUGCCAGCCGCCGCGGUAAUACCGGCAGCCCGAGUGAUGGCCGAUAUUAUUGGGCCUAAAGCGUCCGUAGCUGGCCGGACAAGUCCGUUGGGAAAUCUGUUCGCUUAACGAGCAGGCGUCCAGCGGAAACUGUUCGGCUUGGGACCGGAAGACCUGAGGGGUACGUCCGGGGUAGGAGUGAAAUCCUGUAAUCCUGGACGGACCACCGGUGGCGAAAGCGCCUCAGGAGGACGGAUCCGACAGUGAGGGACGAAAGCUAGGGUCUCGAACCGGAUUAGAUACCCGGGUAGUCCUAGCUGUAAACGAUGCCCGCUAGGUGUGGCGCAGGCUACGAGCCUGCGCUGUGCCGUAGGGAAGCCGAGAAGCGGGCCGCCUGGGAAGUACGUCUGCAAGGAUGAAACUAA